Molecule: long non-coding RNA, 219 nt
Filed under: Elaeis guineensis (African oil palm)
Lineage: Eukaryota; Viridiplantae; Streptophyta; Magnoliopsida; Arecales; Arecaceae
Description: long non-coding RNA (EGUI_LNC071809)
Source: RNAcentral
GCAUGCUGUAUAUCAUAUUUAGAUCCUAGUGUAGGGUAAACAUAUGUUAAUUAAUUAGAUUAAUCAAUAAUUUUUACUAUAAAAUAGUAAUUUUAAAAAAGUUGUAAAAUUAUCAUUUUACCCCUGCACUAAAAUUUCUGUUCCAGGCGUCACCAUACCUUGGAUCUUUGCCAGAUGGAUGUCCAACUCUUUGGACGUGAAGAGGGGAGGAAGGAGAGU